GUGCACCAGGCGCGAAUACUUUACAAUGUGCGAAAGCACGAUAAGGGAACUCUGAGUGCCUCCUAAGGAGGCUGUUCAGGUGUCUAAAAAGCACCUGGAGUAAGGGCUGGGUAAGACCGGUGCCAGCCGCCGCGGUAACACCGGCAGCCCAGGUGGUAGCCACUUUUAUUGGGUCUAAAGCGUCCGUAGCCGGUUGAGUAAGUUCCUUGGGAAAUUUGGCUGCUCAACAGUCAAGCUUCCAGGGAAUACUGCUCGACUUGGGACUGGGAGAGGUCAGAGGUACUCCAGGGGUAGGGUGAAAUCCAUUAAUCCCUGGGGGACCACCGGUAGCGAAGGCGUCUGACCAGACCAGGUCCGACGGUGAGGGACGAAGGCUA
RNAcentral lists this ribosomal RNA (377 nucleotides) under uncultured microorganism. RNAcentral describes it as "bacterial SSU rRNA". It matches the Rfam family "Archaeal small subunit ribosomal RNA", at positions 330 to 713 of the family's 1478-position model. The record is from RNAcentral.